This 336-nucleotide unclassified non-coding RNA is filed under the name soil metagenome. RNAcentral describes it as "partial contains 5.8S ribosomal RNA, internal transcribed spacer 2, and large subunit ribosomal RNA". The stretch from base 1 to 120 matches the Rfam family "5.8S ribosomal RNA", at positions 35 to 154 of the family's 154-position model. The record is from RNAcentral.
GAUGAAGAACGUAGCGAAAUGCGAUAAGUAGUGUGAAUUGCAGAAUUCAGUGAAUCAUCGAAUCUUUGAACGCACAUUGCGCCCCUUGGUAUUCCAUGGGGCAUGCCUGUUCGAGCGUCAUUUGUACCUUCAAGCUUUGCUUGGUGUUGGGUGUUUGUCUCGCCUUUGCGUGUAGACUCGCCUUAAAAUAAUUGGCAGCCGGCGUAUUGAUUUCGGAGCGCAGUACAUCUCGCGCUUUGCACUCAUAACGACAGCGUCCAAAAGUACAUUUUACACACUUGACCUCGGAUCAGGUAGGGAUACCCGCUGAACUUAAGCAUAUCAAUAAGCGGAGGA